CGCCGAAGUAGACGAGGCGACGCGCCGUCUCGUCGCCGACGAGUCGCGGGAGGCGCUGCGUGCCGCCCCACCCCGGGACGAUACCGAGGUCGGUCUC
Molecule: transfer RNA, 97 nt
Filed under: Halarchaeum grantii
Lineage: Archaea; Methanobacteriati; Methanobacteriota; Halobacteria; Halobacteriales; Halobacteriaceae
Description: tRNA-Gly
Source: RNAcentral